UCUCAACGACGAAGGCAGACCAAGAGC
This 27-nucleotide non-coding RNA is filed under the name Bombyx mori (domestic silkworm). The record is from RNAcentral. Lineage: Eukaryota; Metazoa; Arthropoda; Insecta; Lepidoptera; Bombycidae.